RNAcentral lists this long non-coding RNA (4441 nucleotides) under Marmota monax (woodchuck). The record is from RNAcentral. Lineage: Eukaryota; Metazoa; Chordata; Mammalia; Rodentia; Sciuridae.
AAUUUAUUCUGUGCAGUUUAAAAUAAAAGUUAAAACAUCAUACAAACCACAGAAGCUUUAGAUAUAGUACUGACCAAUUUUUAAACAAAAACCACUGAGAUUAUUUACGCACAUUCCUCAUCUUUAGGGUUACAUCUUAUUGUUUGUACAAAGGUAUUGUUAACACACACAGUCUAAUUCCUCAUAUGCUUAUUUGUCGAGCAGCAAGAUGACAAUGCAUCAUAGCACAAGAGGUUUCCUUUAAGAAACCACAGCAGCAGUAUUUGGUGAAUGUUAUGCAUAGAACUGACCCAGAGGUAAUGUGAACAUUCCUCAUCAGAGGGGUAGCAAGGGACACUAACAAAUGGAAAAUGUAACUUUUUAAUAUAAAAUGUUACUCUUUAUGCUUUAAAUGUAAAACUCUGAGACACUUUAGAAGCAGACAACACAAGGUGCUUUAACUCCAGACUCCAAAACCGAACACUAUUCUAUUAGUCGCUAAGAGUCCAGGACCUUUGCGGACUGCUCAUUGGCUUUUUAAAGUCAACUUCAAAUAUAUAAGCAUUUAGUCUACCAGUCAAAAUCUAAGCUACAUUGAUUACAUGUUACAUUAAAACGUUAUCUACUGAGAAAGACUGAAUUUUAAAAAGAUUACGUUGUUGACUUCAAAACUGUUAUUCUUAAAAGAAUGCACUACUUUCAAUCUUUCAACUUCUUAAGAUGCCAUGUUGUGUGAAUCCAUAACUUUAUAUCUUUCCAUCUUUCAACAAAAUAUUUUGAAAUGGUUCUUAAACCUAAUAACAUCUAAAGAAAUGGGUCGGCAUGUCUGUGAAAUGGCUGUUCAACACAUAACAAUGCUUCCCCUAAUGAAAAUCCAGUGAGUGCAUUCUAUAUUUAACUUGACAUAAAUAUUUCAAACCCAUUUUAACAGUGCUAUACAAAUAUUUAGUGUUUUUUGGCAUUUAAAUCUGAAAGACGCUACCACACAGGCAAUUUUCACCAAAAAAAAAAAAAAAAAGUUCAAAAGCAAAAGACUGAUCUGGAAAUAGUUAGCUAAGAAGGAAAUGAAACCAAUCUACCUGAGUCCUUGAAUUUAGAAUCAAUCCUCAAAAAGAUGGCAUACUCCAGAACUAUCAUUUUGGAGGAGGGUUCAGGUAAAAGUCUACUAUUUGUAUGUGUUUUUAAUGCUCAUAACCUUGAAAUUAACCACAGGAUAGUCCACUUCCCACUGAAUGACUCAUUUUCAGUGAGACUAAAAAUGCAGCUGGGAUGCAGUUCUGGUUAAAAUUCAGCUACAAAAACAAUAAAACAAAACAGGAAAAGAACAGAAACACCAUACCACAUAAAUAAUUCUGCAUUAAUAACUAUUUCUCUUCCGUCUCUUAGUGGUCUUAGAAAUAUGCACUAUAUUAUGUGGGGUGCAUGAAAAGAAAGUUUUAAAUAAAGGAUUAGCCUGCAGAUUCUUCAUUAUUGGCAUCAGUAAUUUCUCUUCACUCUCCUCCAGUGAGUUAUAGCAUGGCAAGUAUGAUCUAUUAUAUGCUCUUAGGUAUAUUUCUCAAGUAAGUUAAGCAGAACAUUUCUUAAAAUGCUAUAAAACAAGGGAAGCUUGAAGUAUUAGUGCCAAUAAAUAAUGCCCAACAUAUAUAGCUUUACACGGAUUACAUUCCAUUAAUUUGCAGGUGACUACAGAUUUGGGGGUAGGACUGCAUCAGCUAUCAUUCUUUAAUACUGACACAAAAGGACACUCAUCAGCUACUUAAGUUUUUCAGUAAUUAUUAACUAAACCUUAUAUAGCCACCAUAAAACACAAACAUGAAGAAAGCCAGCAUUCAGCAUUCUAAAAUAAAAAAGUCUAAUUUGAUAUCCUUCCAGCACCAAGAUGCUUUCAGGCAUUCAUUUUUCUUUCUAACUGAUGACCAUGUGAAUGUGAUGUUUAGCUGAUACAUGAAACAUUAAAAUUAACGCUAGAAACUGUGUCACUGCUCUUUUAUGCCCUAGUCAUACAGCAUCCAAUAAGGAAACGAAGACAGAAUGACUGUGCUCCUCUCGCAGAUGCUCCUCUAGCAUCUGCGAGCACACACACAGUUCUGCUCUGUAAAUUCCCUUUUAAUAUGUCCAAAGGUCUACAGUAUCAGCAAAGAUGUGCUCAUCAGGAACACAACAUAGUGCAGAGCUAGUCGACUGUGAGGAGACAAACAAAACUGAAUGAGCACAAAGAAUGAGGUAUCAAACAUAAUUACAAACCUCCAUAAAUUGGAGGUGAUGACUAAUUCUGAGAAACAAAGGUGAAAAACAGAAGAACUCAGAUUAAUAAAACAAACUGGCUUUGCAUUUCAUUCUUAUACAAAGCAGGGAACACUGAACAGUAAGGUUUGUGAAUCCAUACCUCUCUUCCCCAGUAAACACUCAGUCCAAAGUUCAGUGAAGACAAACAUGGAUACCUGGCAAGAGUUGUUUUACAGUUACGCAGGUAUUUCCACCCGCUAUAUUUUCAACACCCAGUACCUCUGAGGUCUUGUCACUGGAUUAUUGUGAAAAAGUAGUUUCUCCACAACACAUGACUUAAGCAUAAAGUCCUCCCAUACAAAGGGAGUGACUAACCCUACUCUUCCUAGAGAAUAGUUCUUCCUAUUCCUAACUACUCUAAAAUCUUGAAUAGAUUACCCAAAAAAUGUAUUUCAUAGAAGAUAACUAUUUAACAUGAGUCAGUAUUAAGUAUUCCAAUAAAUAGAUACCAUCUUGAAAAGAAAAAUAAAUUUAUAAUGACGAGACCAUUUUUAUUUAAUCAGAUACCAUCAGUUAAGAUGCACUGUAUUAUUACAAAGAAAAACACUACCCUUGAAACUACAACCUGAUGCCUUAUAGCAUAGAAAAUAUUUUAUAUUUAUUAAAACAGUGCUCUUAAAAGAUUUUCGUCAUACCAAUCUUGUGUGUAUGUAAAGAAUGUGGGAAAUAAACUGGUCAAGUUAUAACUAUAACUUCAUAUUCUGAACCCAGCUCUUCUAAAUCACUUCUCACGUCACCGUCCUCGCUGUCUGCAUUUGCCCACAUGACUUGGCCCUUGGCAUCUUCAAGAGGACUGGCGAUGCAGCAUUUCUUGAAAGAAUGCUCCACCACUGUCUUCUGUUUAAUGUCAGUGGGAAGUUUUGGACAAAACAAUGUCUGAUGUCUUAAUGACAGUCCAGCUCGACGCAUGAAUCGGUCACACCAGCCUCUUGUUGCUUUAAAUUUUGUUUCAUCAAUUCCGAGGGUUUUGGCAAUUUCCCCUGCCUUUGACUGCAUUACUUGGCGUGUGAUAGGCAAUCCUUUAGCACAUGCCUCACUGACAAAAUGUAGUACAGCUUCAUCUACUUGUGGGUAUCUUCCUUUCUUAGGUCCCGUAAAACAUUUUGUGGUUGCUUUGCAAGAAAAUAUGGAAUUUCGGUCAUUCCUCCAACGGCGAAUAUUUGCUUCGCUAAUAUCAAAUGUUCGCCCCGCUGCUCUGUUUCCAUGCUUUUCCGCAUAUACAAUAACCCUGCGUUUCAAUGCUGAGUCAUAGUGUAAUCUUUUUGAAGACAUUUUAAAAUGCCAAUUAAACCUGAAACAUUUGAUACCAAUAAUACAUGUCAGUUAAGGGGAUGCCACUAUAAGCUAUAAAUUCACACAUGUACAAGCUAGGAUAAUUAUGUGACUAUCCUGGCUGACAGUAAUGAGAUGCAUCCCAAUUUCAGACAAGUUAAAACAUGAAGAAUACAUUUUGAAUAUUAAAAUAUGCUUUUCAAGCUUGAAAUGUUUAUGAGAUUCACACCAGUGCAAACAAACGAACAAAAAAAUCCCAAGAGCCAAGGAAUAAGUGUGCUGAGCAGAAAGCUAGCGAAACAAAAUAUUAUCUUUAAGAUGAAAUUUGCAAAGGUCCAAUUUGGUUUUAAUUCCCUUUAUUACUAUAUGGCUUACAUGUAAAUUUUUUGAACUGGAUAUGAAAUCCAAGUAUAAAUGUUCUUCAGUCAUUUAGUAUAUUUCAAAGCCAAGUCACUAAGACAGAGGCUCACAAUUGCCUUUCAUUGUUUACUAAUAAAGGACCCUGUCUGGGAUCAAUGGCCUUCAUCAGUAGGUGCCCUCCUUUGGCGUGCAGAUCUGAUUCUGUGUGGAGAGGAUGAAGGGUCUUCUUCAGUUUCAGACCCUGAAGGCUCAUGAUCUCCCUCCUGGGAUCCUGUGUCUCCCACUAGUUCCCGUAGAAACUUGAAUUUAGAUAAAAACAGAUGCCACACAAAAUACCAACCGCACACCAUCAGCAGCAGGACGAUCAGCAGCGUCGCCACGAACACCAGCAGCGUCAGCCCGACGUUGUGCCACAUCUUGGGCGGAGGGUAGUCGCCUCAAGGCGGCGGGCGCGGCGGCGGCAGCGGACAGGCGCGAGCGGGCUUCAGUGGCGGGCGCCGGGCGCGGCGAAGCGCCGGGGCGGCAUGGGCGGCGUGCGCCCCUC